This 348-nucleotide unclassified non-coding RNA is filed under the name soil metagenome. RNAcentral describes it as "partial contains 5.8S ribosomal RNA, internal transcribed spacer 2, and large subunit ribosomal RNA". The stretch from base 1 to 120 matches the Rfam family "5.8S ribosomal RNA", at positions 35 to 154 of the family's 154-position model. The record is from RNAcentral.
GAUGAAGAACGUAGCGAAAUGCGAUAAGUAGUGUGAAUUGCAGAAUUCAGUGAGUCAUCGAAUCUUUGAACGCACAUUGCGCCCUUUGGUAUUCCGAAGGGCAUGCCUGUUCGAGCGUCAUUAUCACCCCUCAAGCCCCGGCUUGGUGUUGGGCUCUCGGUGGUCGUCUCCGACCACCCGUCUCAAAGAUAGUGACGGCGUCCCAGAGGGAACCGGUACGAGGAGCUUUCACGAGCAUGUACGCGGGACGACUCUGCGGGCGACGGUCUUAUUUACUUUAUAUACAAGUGUUGACCUCGGAUCAGGUAGGAAUACCCGCUGAACUUAAGCAUAUCAAUAAGCGGAGGA